CGUGCAGGUGGUUUGGUAAGUUGGGUAUGAAAUCUCCUGGCUUAACUAGGAGAGGUUGCUCAAAACUACCAGACUAGAGGACGAUAGAGGAAGGUGGAAUUCCCGGUGUAGUAGUGAAAUGCGUAGAUAUCGGGAGGAACACCAGUGGCGAAGGCGGCCUUCUGGGUCGUUCCUGACACUAAGACGCGAAAGCAUGGGUAGCAAACG
RNAcentral lists this ribosomal RNA (207 nucleotides) under uncultured bacterium. RNAcentral describes it as "partial 16S ribosomal RNA". It matches the Rfam family "Bacterial small subunit ribosomal RNA", at positions 568 to 774 of the family's 1533-position model. The record is from RNAcentral.